UACGUAGGGGGCAAGCGUUGUCCGGAUUUAUUGGGCGUAAAGAGCGUGUAGGCGGCCAAACAGGUCAGCUGUGAAAACUCGAAGCUCAACCUCGAGACGUCGGUUGAAACCGUUUGGCUAGAGUCCGGAAGAGGAGAGUGGAAUUCCCGGUGUAGCGGUGAAAUGCGCAGAUAUCGGGAAGAGCACCCGUGGCGAAGGCGGCUCUCUGGGACGGUACUGACGCUGAGACGCGAAAGCGUGGGGAGCGAACAGG
RNAcentral lists this ribosomal RNA (253 nucleotides) under uncultured bacterium. Its description in RNAcentral is "partial 16S ribosomal RNA". It matches the Rfam family "Bacterial small subunit ribosomal RNA", at positions 524 to 776 of the family's 1533-position model. The record is from RNAcentral.